CCUACGGGGGGCUGCAGUGGGGAAUAUUGGACAAUGGGGGGAACCCUGAUCCAGCCAUGCCGCGUGUGUGAAGAAGGCCCUCGGGUUGUAAAGCACUUUCAGUGAGGAAGAACGCCUGGUGGUUAAUACCCAUCAGGAAAGACAUCACUCACAGAAGAAGCACCGGCUAACUCCGUGCCAGCAGCCGCGGUAAUACGGAGGGUGCGAGCGUUAAUCGGAAUUACUGGGCGUAAAGCGCGCGUAGGUGGCUUGAUAAGCCGGUUGUGAAAGCCCCGGGCUCAACCUGGGAACGGCAUCCGGAACUGUCAAGCUAGAGUGCAGGAGAGGAAGGUAGAAUUCCCGGUGUAGCGGUGAAAUGCGUAGAGAUCGGGAGGAAUGCCAGUGGCGAAGGCGGCCUUCUGGACUGACACUGACACUGAGGUGCGAAAGCGUGGGUAGCAAACAGGAUUAGAUACCCUUGUAGUC
This 465-nucleotide ribosomal RNA is filed under the name Vreelandella stevensii. RNAcentral describes it as "partial 16S ribosomal RNA". It matches the Rfam family "Bacterial small subunit ribosomal RNA", at positions 338 to 795 of the family's 1533-position model. The record is from RNAcentral. Lineage: Bacteria; Pseudomonadati; Pseudomonadota; Gammaproteobacteria; Oceanospirillales; Halomonadaceae.